Long non-coding RNA from Ictalurus punctatus (channel catfish), 1152 nucleotides. Lineage: Eukaryota; Metazoa; Chordata; Actinopteri; Siluriformes; Ictaluridae. The record is from Ensembl.
AUCCUUUUCAUCAACUUUUGCAUUUUAAUGUAAACAAUCAUAUUUCAUAAUAUUUUGGGUCAGAAACAUUUCAUAGUACUAUAUUAUGUCUAAAUAUGUGAAAAGAAUCAAAUUGGAGUAGGUCGGGCAACUGAUUAUAUAAGUUUGUUAGAAAAACCACUUUCCUUUGCUCCUAGCGCCUUCUCGUUCGCUGUAUAGCGUUUUGAGCGGAUAAAGAGCACAAGUGUGUAUGGGGACACUGGAUGAAUGGGAAUUAGUUUUGUUAUUGCACUUUUGAUGAAAACUGACUUUCUAGACAUAAAAUGUCACUUUUUUCACCUUAUCAUCCUUUUUCAUCAACUUUUGCAUUUUAAUGUAAACAAUCAUAUUUCGUAAUAUUUUGUGUCAGAAACAUUUCAUAGUACUAUAUUAUGUCUAAAUAUGUGAAAAGAAUCAAAUUGGAGUAGGUCGGGCAACUGAUUAUAUGAGUUUGUUAGAAAAACCACUUUCCUUUGCUCCUAGCGCCUUCUCGUUCGCUGUAUAGCGUUUUGAGCGGAUAAAGAGCACAAGUGUGCAUGGAGACACUGGAUGAAUGGGAACAAGUUUUGUUAUUGCACUUUUGAUGAAAACUGACUUUCUAGACAUAAAAUGUCACUUUUUUCACCUUAUCAUACUUUUUCAUCAACUUUUGCAUUUUAAUGUAAACAAUCAUAUUUCGUAAUAUUUUGGGUCAGAAACAUUUCAUAGUACUAUAUUAUGUCUAACUAUGUGAAAAAAAUCAAAUUGGAGUAGGUCGGGCAACUGAUUAUAUGAGUUUGUUAGAAAAAGCACUUUCCUUUGCUCCUAGCGCCUUCUCGUUCGCUGUAUAGCGUUUUGAGCGGAUAAAGAGCACAAGUGUGUAAGGAGACACUGGAUGAAUGGGAACAAGUUUUGUUAUUGCACUUUUGAUGAAAACUGACUUUCUAGACAUAAAAUGUCACUUUUUUCACCUUAUCAUACUUUUUCAUCAACUUUUGCAUUUUAAGGUAAACAAUCAUAUUUCGUAAUAUUUUGGGUCAGAAACAUUUCAUAGUACUAUAUUAUGUCUAAAUAUGUGAAAAGAAUCAAAUUGGAGUAGGUCGGGCAACUGAUUAUAUGAGUUUGUUAGAAAAACCACUUUCCUUUGCUCCUAGC